UACAGAGGGGGCAAGCGUUGUUCGGAAUUACUGGGCGUAAAGGGCGCGUAGGCGGCCUGUUAAGUCGAACGUGAAAUCCCCGGGCUCAACCCGGGAACUGCGUCCGAUACUGGCUGGCUUGAAUCCGGGAGAGGGAUGCGGAAUUCCAGGUGUAGCGGUGAAAUGCGUAGAUAUCGGAAGGAACAUCAGUGGCGAAAGCGGCUUCCUGGACCAGUACCGACGUUCAGGCAUGAAAGCGUGGGGAGCAAACAGG
This 253-nucleotide ribosomal RNA is filed under the name uncultured bacterium. RNAcentral's name for it is "partial 16S ribosomal RNA". It matches the Rfam family "Bacterial small subunit ribosomal RNA", at positions 524 to 776 of the family's 1533-position model. The record is from RNAcentral.